This 301-nucleotide ribosomal RNA is filed under the name uncultured bacterium. Its description in RNAcentral is "partial 16S ribosomal RNA". It matches the Rfam family "Bacterial small subunit ribosomal RNA", at positions 509 to 807 of the family's 1533-position model. The record is from RNAcentral.
CAGUAGCCGCGGGAAUACGUAGGGUCCGAGCGUUGUCCGGAAUUAUUGGGCGUAAAGGGCGUGUAGGCGGCCUGGGGCGUCCCAUGUGAAAGGCCACGGCUCAACCGUGGAGGAGCGUGGGAUACGCUCAGGCUAGAGGGUGGGAGAGGGUGGUGGAAUUCCCGGAGUAGCGGUGAAAUGCGCAGAUACCGGGAGGAACGCCGAUGGCGAAGGCAGCCACCUGGUCCACUUCUGACGCUGAGGCGCGAAAGCGUGGGGAGCAAACCGGAUUAGAUACCCCCGUAGUCCCUGUCUCUUAUAC